RNAcentral lists this ribosomal RNA (1086 nucleotides) under Hypocreales sp. FY-2022b. RNAcentral's name for it is "SSU rRNA". It matches the Rfam family "Eukaryotic small subunit ribosomal RNA", at positions 63 to 1161 of the family's 1831-position model. Lineage: Eukaryota; Fungi; Ascomycota; Sordariomycetes; Hypocreales. The record is from RNAcentral.
GUAUAAGCAAUUAUACGGCGAAACUGCGAAUGGCUCAUUAUAUAAGUUAUCGUUUAUUUGAUAAUACUUUACUACUUGGAUAACCGUGGUAAUUCUAGAGCUAAUACAUGCUAAAAAUCCCGACUUCGGAAGGGUUGUAUUUAUUAGAUUAAAAACCAAUGCCCUCUGGGCUCUCUGGUGAAUCAUAAUAACUUGUCGAAUCGCAAGGCCUUGUGCCGGCGAUGGCUCAUUCAAAUUUCUUCCCUAUCAACUUUCGAUGUUUGGGUAUUGGCCAAACAUGGUGGCAACGGGUAACGGAGGGUUAGGGCUCGACCCCGGAGAAGGAGCCUGAGAAACGGCUACUACAUCCAAGGAAGGCAGCAGGCGCGCAAAUUACCCAAUCCCGACACGGGGAGGUAGUGACAAUAAAUACUGAUACAGGGCUCUUAUGGGUCUUGUAAUCGGAAUGAGUACAAUUUAAAUCCCUUAACGAGGAACAAUUGGAGGGCAAGUCUGGUGCCAGCAGCCGCGGUAAUUCCAGCUCCAAUAGCGUAUAUUAAAGUUGUUGUGGUUAAAAAGCUCGUAGUUGAACCUUGGGCCUGGCUGGCCGGUCCGCCUCACCGCGUGCACUGGUCCGGCCGGGCCUUUCCCUCUGUGGAACCUCAUGCCCUUCACUGGGUGUGACGGGGAAACAGGACUUUUACUUUGAAAAAAUUAGAGUGCUCCAGGCAGGCCUAUGCUCGAAUACAUUAGCAUGGAAUAAUAAAAUAGGACGUGUGGUUCUAUUUUGUUGGUUUCUAGGACCGCCGUAAUGAUUAAUAGGGACAGUCGGGGGCAUCAGUAUUCAAUUGUCAGAGGUGAAAUUCUUGGAUUUAUUGAAGACUAACUACUGCGAAAGCAUUUGCCAAGGAUGUUUUCAUUAAUCAGGAACGAAAGUUAGGGGAUCGAAGACGAUCAGAUACCGUCGUAGUCUUAACCAUAAACUAUGCCGACUAGGGAUCGGACGAUGUUAUAUUCUUGACGCGUUCGGCACCUUACGAGAAAUCAAAGUGCUUGGGCUCCAGGGGGAGUAUGGUCGCAAGGCUGAAACUUAAAGAAAUGACGGAA